GCUCAGAGAAUCUCCACUCUGUUAAGCAGCCUUCUCCCCGCACUGCCAGACUUCCAUGAAAUCCAAAGGACUCCCUUGUGCUCACUCCAUGUCUGCAUCUCUCAGAUGGACGAUGAAAAUUGAACAUCCACUUUGUCUAUCGCAUUCUUGCUAAUACACAGACAGCCUUUUAAAGAAUUUCCAAUGGAUAUAACACAUCAGGUCCAAAUAAAAGGGAACAUACCACUCAGCAGGAUGAUGUGUAAAGGUGAUAUUAAUAAUUAUCCUUACUGUCUAAGGGCAUAGGAUCUGUGCAAGAUAUGCCCUGGGUGAGAUGUCACCAUGAUUAGAGAAAGAUGAAGCUAACACAGAGAGUAUGGUUCCUGGAGUAUGCUGGAUUCAGGACAAAUGGACAUGUGGUGCCAGAUAAGUGACUGAUUGGCCUUGGCUGAGGAUGAGCACUUUCAAGUACAAACUCUCAUCUCAGAGGAAUGUUAACAAAUGUACUAGAGAUGAACUUUAGUUGGGUAAUGAAGAUCAGGCAUAGCAAAAAGAAAGGGAAAGUACUCUCUCCUGAAGACUAGGAGCUCCAUACAUUGGAACCAAUUGUACUAGCAGUGAAUCUGACUCCACAGCAAGGACCAACUUGACCAGCAGGUAAAGCAGUAAAGCAGAAAGCUGACUCUACCGUGAAGCCUGACUGAACCAACAAAGGUAGAAGCAAACCAGAGAUGACUCCAUGGCAAAGUCAGACUGAACCAUCAAUGUCAACAGUGAAAAAUCUCUGAACUGCACGAGGUGGCUGCCUUGGUGUCGGACUUAGCUGAACAGUUCCUUCAGGACUACAGCAGACCAACAGAGGACAGCCACCCUCAGAUGUCUUUGGCUACCACUGAGACUGACUCUGUUGGAAAGCGGAGUUGUUAAAGGGAGAGGUUUGGAGUGAGACAGUGUUCUGGGACUCCAUCAGCCAGACAUUAAGACUAAGAGGGGUGAACCAAACUGCUAAUCUAUUCACUUGGGCUGGUCAAUUUCUUAUAUGAAUAUGUAAGUAUAUAUACUGGUUAUGUGUGUGGGGGAGAAAGGGGUGUGUGUGUGCUGGGGGGAGAGUCCAGGUAUAUUUCCCAGAAAUAAGAGUUCAGUUCUGGGUGGGAACUUCAGCCAUAGAUUGAUAUUUUUUAUUUUUAUUUUAGUUUUUAUAAAGAAGAACCCCGAGACACUUGGAACCCAUUCCUUGUUUCUGCCAUUGGCACCUGGCAGAAGUGUCACACUAUUUAUUGGAAGUCUUUCUUUGAGUAAUAGGUAUUCAUAAUUCAAUAGUCAGGCUUGGUAACAUGGUAACUAUAGUCAUAUAAUAUUGUUUCUUUUCUUUCAUUGGAUGAUCUAACCAAAACUAAUUUUGCUUUGUGUUCUUCACUGUGAUCAUUGGGACAAGAAAAAAUUCACACACAAAUGUUUCUAUAAAACAAGGUUACACCCCCCCUUUUUUUUAUCUGAAAGUCUCUAUUUCCAUAUUCCUUAUAUUUAUCUGUCAGUUGAUUGAUUGGUACAUGGAUUUAAUGAGGUCAUAUAUUGUCUCACCAGUUCUAUUUUGUAACAAUUUAAGGUUCAGUCCUUUGGUGCCAGAUUGAGUCAAAAGCUUCUUGCAAUUUUGGCAGAGAAGUUAUGGCAAGCAGUUUGUUUACAUUUACUUGUACUUGUUUAUUGUAUACCCCCACUCAUGCCUGAUGUAAGUUUAAUUUUUAUUGGGUAAAAUGCAGAUAUUAACAUUGUUAUUGAACUGAGGGCUCUCCUCAUGUGAUGAUAGAUUGGUGUCUGGUAGAGGAGAUAUUUGGAUUAUUCUCUUCUUUUGUUUAGUUCCUUGAAUAUUUUAUCUGCAGUAUUUUGUUUCUAUUAGUUUCUCUAGUUUCUUGUGAAGAUGCAAAGUGUGAAGUAUUUUUUUAUUUUUUUUAUAUGGCCAGCCUGGUUCUCUUUAUUAUUAUAUUUUAUUUGCUCUAUGUAUAGUGGUAACUCCUACAAGGACCAAAUCAGGACCCCAUUGUGCUCAGUGCUAUACACACCAAUAACGAGAAAGUCCCUGCUCCGGUAAGCUUAGAAGUCACUUACCGUACAUUAGCUACAACAUAAAGCCACAGUGUCUUUUUGGUAUUUGAUGGCUAAUGUUAAGAGAGAAAAUGGUAAAUGCUGUGGUAAAUGGUAAAUAGUGUAAAGUAAAAGACCUUCAUUUGGAAUGGUGGGUUAUGCUUGUUUACAAUACUGAACUAAGUAAAGGACUUAAAACAACACCUUAUAUGCCAUUAGACUAGAAUCGUCUGCUGCAGAACCUGGGCAGCAGGUGCCCAAUAGAGGGAAAGUAUGCUCAGAGAUGUGGGAGGUGAGUAUCAGAAGCACAA
Mauremys reevesii (Reeves's turtle) is the source of this 2372-nucleotide long non-coding RNA. RefSeq lists it as uncharacterized. The transcript is spliced from 3 exons. The record is from RefSeq and is a predicted model, not a curated record. Lineage: Eukaryota; Metazoa; Chordata; Testudines; Geoemydidae.